CUUUACAGGAGUUUUGGAAGUGCAGUUUUCUGACAGAGGAUGUAUGGAUUCCCAUUUAUGUAAUGAUUACUUUGAUUUGAUGACCAUAGUGAAGGAUGUUGACACAGCUGUCUUUACUUGCAUUUAAAAUACAAAUCAAAUAGCCAAUUCUACUGAGGUUUGCAAUCCCCAAAAGCAAAUUUGUAUUUCAUUUUUGACAAUAUUAUUUGAAAAAAAUAUAAUUGUAAUUUUAU
Non-coding RNA from Pelobates cultripes (western spadefoot toad), 233 nucleotides. NCBI's taxonomy places the organism in Eukaryota, Metazoa, Chordata, Amphibia, Anura, Pelobatidae. The record is from the annotation of a GenBank genome assembly.